Molecule: long non-coding RNA, 199 nt
Filed under: Brassica rapa (field mustard)
Lineage: Eukaryota; Viridiplantae; Streptophyta; Magnoliopsida; Brassicales; Brassicaceae
Description: long non-coding RNA (BRAP_LNC004683)
Source: RNAcentral
CGGAGCUGAACAAAGAUGUUUUUGAAAUACUGACUUCUGGACCCGACAUGUCCUCAAACUCUGAUAGAAACUUUAAAACACCUUCAAGAGACUUUUGGUUGAUUGCAAGAUUUUGAGUCUUGACUUUAUUAAUAACAAAAAAUUUCGAGUUUCACAUCUAAAUCAUCAGCUAGAAGUUGAAAUACACCAUCAACAUAUU